UAAUACGGAGGGUGCAAGCAUUGAUCGGAAUUACUGGGCGUAAAGGGCGCGUAGGCGGUUAAGAAAGUCAGAUGUGAAAUUCCGGGGCUCAACCCCGGAGCUGCAUUUGAAACUUCUUAGCUAGAGUUCAGUUAGGGUAAACGGAAUUCCACGUGUAGCGGUGAAAUGCGUAGAUAUGUGGAAGAACACCGGUGGUGAAGACGGUUUACUGGGCUGAUACUGACGCUGAGGCGCGAAAGCAUGGGGAGCAAACAGG
This 256-nucleotide ribosomal RNA is filed under the name uncultured bacterium. RNAcentral's name for it is "partial 16S ribosomal RNA". It matches the Rfam family "Bacterial small subunit ribosomal RNA", at positions 521 to 776 of the family's 1533-position model. The record is from RNAcentral.